AUUGAACGCUGGCGGAAUGCUUUACACAUGCAAGUCGAGCGGCAGCGCGGCCUUCGGGCUGGCGGCGAGCGGCGAACGGGUGAGUAAUGCAUCGGAACAUGCCCAGUCGUGGGGGAUAACACUUCGAAAGAAGUGCUAAUACCGCAUACGUCCUGAGGGGGAAAGCGGGGGAUCGUAAGACCUCGCGCGAUUGGAGUGGCCGAUGUCAGAUUAGCUAGUUGGUGGGGUAAAGGCCUACCAAGGCGACGAUCUGUAGCUGGUCUGAGAGGAUGAUCAGCCACACUGGGACUGAGACACGGCCCAGACUCCUACGGGAGGCAGCAGUGGGGAAUUUUGGACAAUGGGGGCAACCCUGAUCCAGCCAUUCCGCGUGAGUGAAGAAGGCCUUCGGGUUGUAAAGCUCUUUCGGCAGGAACGAAACGGUGGGCUCUAACAUAGUCCGCUAAUGACGGUACCUGAAGAAGAAGCACCGGCUAACUACGUG
This 484-nucleotide ribosomal RNA is filed under the name uncultured bacterium. RNAcentral describes it as "partial 16S ribosomal RNA". It matches the Rfam family "Bacterial small subunit ribosomal RNA", at positions 30 to 507 of the family's 1533-position model. The record is from RNAcentral.